CCUAGAAGUCAACUUGGGGAACUUAUCAUACCUAAUAAUAAUAAUAAAAGAGCAACUUCUAUGCAUCACUGCAUUCUCAGUUGUACUGAGGUAUUUUCCUUUGUGCAACAGGAAAGAAAACAUACAAGCAACUUAAAAGAUUAUCUGAAGAACCUCACUCUGAAGUUGCUUCUUCACACCCUCCUGGAAGAAUGGGAAAUGAAAAGAGAAUGCCCAUCAGUGUCUAAAUCAGAAAGCUGGCAGGGUGACUGUCAGUUUUAAUGAACAUCGCCCUCUUCUAACUAGUAGCAAAAAUUCUAGUCAUGUGACCUAUUGACAAGAAAUUGAAUUCCAUAGUGAUUUCGAAUAGUCUUCUUUUUAGCUUAGGAAUGAAGAAAAUGGCUCUCUUCGAAGAGGUAAGAUGGUAUGACAUAGUAGUGAUCAGGUCCUAGCCCAGAAGGCAGAUCAUGCAGGUGCUCACUGCUGAGAGAGACUGGCCAUGGCCAAGAGGAGAGAAGUGGGGAAAGGAGAGAGAGAGAAGAAAGGCUAGAGUAAGAGGGAGAGAGAAUAAGAGAGUGAGAGGAGAGGUCAGAGAUAGAGGUGGGGCCAAGCAGCUGUUAUCUUUACUGUUGCUAGGUAACUGGGAGGAGUCUAGCCUGAAGGUGAGAAGCUUGGGACAUUGUCUACGUGACUGUUAGCCACACUUCUCUUGUGGGGGCUGUGGAGGCGGUAACUUCUACUGGAGCCAAGGUUCCAGGAGACAUGAAAGAACGCCUACUGUCCCCAUGUAGGUGAAUUAUCACCAUUCAGGUUCUACCAGGGUUCAGACCUCAACUCGGCAGGAGACCAGGCUGUCUGUGUAUAGCCCAAUGUCCCACACUUUACUUUCUUCCCUUCUCCUCCAUUUCUUCUUCUUCCUCUUCCUCCUGCUCUUCCUCCUCUAAAGUGGGAAUUCCUGAUUUUGUUGGAGAUUCAGUUGUGUCAUGCGGUGCUUUUCUGGAAACUGCCCUGUGAGAAGCUCGUUUCCUGAAGCAGACUCGUGACAGGAUGUUUGCUGAGAACAGACGCGUGGUAUUUUCCUGGAAGUUGCCUAGUGAAGUGACAUGUGAUGUUUUGCUGGAGCUGAUGCUUGAGAGGCAAUGUGAUGUUUGGAAAGAGGAUGAGUCUAACCCAACAGACUGUGGACAGUGUUCUUGUAUUGCUUCUCUUUGGAACUCUGCGGGUCAUUGUUGGGCUUCACUGGUGCUGGUCUCCCGCUGAUGAAAUUCUUGCAUUGGUUCGCCUUGCUUUUUUAGCUGAUCUUCACUUGUCAUGACUUCGUAGAGAGACAUGCACCAAAGAACUUCUGGUGGUAUUCCAGCUGCUUCUUGCUGCUUCCACAGACUGGUUCCAAUCGGCAGAUCCCUGCUGCUUCUUCUGGAUAAAGCCACUGCUACUGAGUCGUGUUUGGUGUUUUGCUAGUGGACUGAACUGCUGACAACGAUGAUUGGAAUCACCCCAAAGAACAAUUUCUAAACAGGUCCAUAACCCCUAUUUUCUAGUAACCUUUCUUUCCCCCUACUUCUGGUGGGUGGUGGGCUAGAAGAGAGGUAGACGUGUUAACCAUAAUUACAGUAGGUUUUGAAAAAUCUAAGACUACACUCCCUCCUUCUUCUAGAUGAAAAAAAAAAAAGCCAAAGACCAAACAGCAGUGUAACAUAGUUUCUUGGAGACCCUCUGCCCCAGCGUGUUUGAAAGGAUAAUGCCUAAGGUACUAAGUGUACUCUCUGCUCGAAUAGCUAAAAAGAAUGAUUUUCAUUAAAAAAUUUCCAGGAAAGCCAGGCGUGGUGGCACAUGCCUUUAAUCCCAGCACUAGGGAGGCAGAGGCAGGCGGAUUUCUGAGUUCGAGGCCAGCCUGGUCUACAGAGUGAGUUCCAGGACAGCCAGGGCUACACAGAGAAACCCUGUCUCGAAAAAAAAAAAAUUCCAGGAAAAAAGUAGUUCAAAAUGAAACGAGAAACUAGAGAAGCACAGCA
Molecule: long non-coding RNA, 1994 nt
Filed under: Mus musculus (house mouse)
Lineage: Eukaryota; Metazoa; Chordata; Mammalia; Rodentia; Muridae
Description: long non-coding RNA chr13:42198938-42200932
Source: RNAcentral